Long non-coding RNA from Gallus gallus (chicken), 1997 nucleotides. Lineage: Eukaryota; Metazoa; Chordata; Aves; Galliformes; Phasianidae. The record is from Ensembl.
AGCCUGCCGAGCAGAGGCGGCGGGCACAGCGCGGGGCCGCCCCCUCCCGACCCCCACACCGUCGCCGGCUGCGGCGAGAAGCGGCACGCACUUCUCGUCGGCGCGGCGGUGCGAAGGAGCUGAUGCUGCCCGGCACGUCGCUGCAGCGGGCCUGCCGCCUCCUCUUCGCCCUCUACGCGCUGCUUCUCUCGGUCACGCUAACUCUGCUACCUGCAGGCAGCCCCUGAAGCCCCCGCCGGCGCCCCGCCCGCCGUCGACCCGAGAUUCUGCCCCGACCCCUCCCCACUGCUCGAGGUUGGAGUCCUGGGCAGAAGCGGGCGUUUUGUGCCAUCAGCGGGGCACGUUUCAGAACAGCGGGGCCAGGAGAAGGGAACUCUGGCCACCAGCGCUGCGACGUGCCGGGUGAGCUGCGUGGCCUCCUGCUGCAGAACACUGCGAGACUUCUGAGAAGCUCCCUGUGGGUUUCUUGUAGCAAAACCGACGCAGAAAUUCAUCGUUUCACUCGGUGCUCGCUGGUCAGCCGGAUCAAUGCGACUGAAUAGCAAAUGAAGGGGUUGUUAGGAAGGUGGUUUUGAAGUCACUAAGAGGGACUGCAUUGGAUUGGUUUGUUUGUUUGUUUGUUUGCUUUUUUUUGGGGGGGGGGGGUUGUUUUGGGCUGUUUUUGAUUCGUGUUUUUCACUUUUCCCCUCCCAUCGCUUAGUGCUGCAAGUAGCCGUGUACUCAGGCUAUGCAUGGGGAUGUGCAGCCCCUUUGGAGCAAAGCUUUGCUCCAACCGGCCCGCUCACACUGAACCUCCCGGGCACUCUGAAGUCCUGGGAGCUGGGAGAGUUCCAUGUCCCCCGGACUCAGAGCAUUACCCAGUCAGUGCCCGGAUGGUCAGCUGAAAACAGAGUCACCGUUCCCAGAGCUGUGCCAGAAAUGUGGAGAUGCGGCACUGAUUAGCGGGCAUACCGCCGACGGGUCGGUGACUGGACUUGAUGGUCUCACAGGUCUUCCCAACCUUAGUGAUGACAUGUGAUUCUGUCACUUUGUACUGUCGCUGUAUCGCUUCCGUGCAGCUUUUGCACGGGUGCAGGCAAGGGCACGGGUGGUGGUUGUGGAUGCUCAGAGAGCCCCUCGUGGCUCAGGACUCGUUGGUUUCCAGCAGCCCCAGUACCAGGGUGCUCUCAGGUGUGGGCUGGCACUCACCCACAUGGCUCUGAGGUCUUCAGCCAGCACGUUGGUGAGGAACCUGACUGCUCCGUGGUACUGCAUUUCUCACCACUUCUUUCAAGUUUUGGCAGCAGAGAACUUUUGUGAAACUGCCUUAACGUGCCUCAGAUUUUGGUCAGAGUUAUCUGCUCUGAUAAUCUGCUCGUGUCUCUGUGAUCAGCAUGGAACUGAGGAGGGGUCAUAUCCACAGGCAUUUCUCCCUCGCUCAGAAUUCGUGCCAGCCUCCUCUUUGCGCACAGAGCUGCUUUAGGAAUGGGCAUAAUGGGUGGGAUCCAAGAGGGACCUUUUUGGUGUCCCCACGUUCCCAAAGCCAUGUGUCAGUGCUCCACUGUGAGCGGAUGGCUCCAUCUGCCCCAUUCCCCCAGCACAAAACUCUUGUUUGUGGAGACAUGCCUCCUUCUCGGGCUUCCUUUUCCCUUUCUUCCCUCACUGGAAGGCAUGUAAUGAAUUGUGCAGGGGACGUGUGACCAAGCUGCUCAGGCUUUCUGAGCAGCCAGUGACACACUUGCUGCCAGAGGCCCAGAGGUUUCUCCCUGGUGAUGCUCAGAGAGAGAACCCAACAGUCCGUGCCAUGGGGCUCCUGGACAAACACGUGAGCUGAGUGAAGUGUGAUCUCUGCAAGAACCUGCUGAACGUAAUAUGCUUUUAUGGUUCACUUCCCUUUAUUUGUAACUUGAAAGUAUAGAUCAAGGCUGGCAAAAUAAUGCUGUAAUUCAAAUUUGGAUUAAAAGUUUCUAAUGUCUAGGAAGUUGUGUAAUAUAAGGUAAUAAAAGCAUGUUGGAUCU